UUUUUUUUUUGUUGGUAGCGAAACCAGUUACAACAUGCCUCGAAACACAAGGCACAAUUGGCCUGUUGAAAACCGGGUGAAAUCCGUUACACCAGACACAAUUGGCCGGCCUGUCUACCCACAUGCACUAUCGAGAGGAAGGCCACCGUCGAGGUUGUCCGCAAGAGCUAUAUUCAUCGCUUUUUCCUGACCAAACAACACCGACUUCGUCACAUUGAAGCACCAACGAGCCACCAGGUGGCCACUGAAAUAGCUGCCCAAAGCCCACGUCGGCCUAUGCCAAACAACCGGCCACACUCACAAAUAGCUGCCCAAUUUAGCGAAGUUCGCUUUAUCAUUGGGCCUGGCCGCUGUGCUUGGUUAGGACAGCCACAUGGUCUUCCGUUCGUCUCUGCCACAAUGGUGACGGUUGAAUAAAAACUUAGCGAGAUUGCCUAAAAAAAUAAAAACUCGCAAGUGGCAAGGCCACUCCGAUUUUGAAAACGCGCAAAUGAGAGAUGUGUAAGGACUGUGCCGCAGAGGAUUCCCUCAACCAGAUGCCCAUCGCAUGUUAUCGUCGUUGCUCGUACCCCGCCACAACAGCUCAAUGUAGUCAGUCGUUGCUAUAUGAGACAUCAUGCCAGACCCAUCCUCCCAACACAUUUACUGGUCCCUUCAGCCGGAUCGAACUCCAAAAUUGAUGCCCUCAAGAGGGGAACAGGUGGGUCUAGGGUUUCCCUUGGAGUUGUCUCAAGAAGAGGAAGAAAGAGCACCCUGUCGACGCCUUCAAGAAGGUCACAACAUCCAUGGGCACAUGCUUCAACCAAUGUAAGAGACUGAUCUUCACCCGACUUUACCUCAGCUUGCUCAGUGUGAAUCAUGUCGGAUCACCUGCCCAAGUUUUCCGAAAGACUCCAAUCCUCCAAAAAUCGUAUGAAAUUCCUUUGAAUCAAAGGAGUGUAUAUAAAAUUUUAGCAUUCUCUCAAAUCUCUUAUAAGGAAUCCUAUUUUUGUGCUAUCCGUAUGUUUUUGGAAUCUAGGCCCGAAAAGCGGUUUGGACCUUCUGCUGGCAUGUAAAGCUCUAAUUCUGCUGUAAUUGGCCUGGUUUGCCUCUGGUAAGGGCCUCUUUGAUUCACAGAGGAAUAGAAUAUCAUGUUUUCUUGUAUCCUACAAGAACUCGAUUUUGGAUGAAAGUGCGUUUGAUAGCACAGGAAAAACCAAAAAAAAAAUAUCAAAAGGUUUGGGUGGAUGAAAUUUUCCUUCAAAACAUAGUACAAAUGAGUCGUAUGAAAUAAAUUAGUACGGAUUCCAAUCCUGCGAAUCAAAGAGUCACCAUAGAAAAAAAAAACCUAAGGAUCCAAAUCCUUCAAAAAUCCUACAAAACUCCUUUGAAUCAAAGGAGUCCGCGAUGUUGUGUUGAAUCAAAAUUUGUAUGGUUAAGUGACAUGAAGUUGGUUAGUAUCAUCCGCAUGGGUGAACCAGAUGCCUAUAAGAAAAGCGCUGUGGCAUGCAGGCAGCAGGAGGGGCAAAAUGCAUUCGUCUCAAGAGCGAUCUUAGCACAUGGGAGUUGGUGAAGGACUAAAAGCAACUCUUCUCAAGAGUCUGAUACAGCUAGUUCAGGACAAACUACACCUGGAGGAGUUAUGUCUCCCCCAAAUACCCAGAUUAUAUGGAACCGAAUGACAGCCACGACGAGGCUAAUCAUCAUAAAUAUACAGACAACAACAACAACCAUGCUAAACCACAACUGAAUCUAUUCUCAGGAAAAAGCAAUUUACAUCUGGGAAGCAGCCUUUGAGCAUCAGUUCUGGCAGACCCAACAACACGAGACUAAUGGGGGUACUAAGAGUUUUCUUUAACUGCUUAGUGCUCUCCACAUGACGAAAACCCGCCUACAUAUUAGAAAUGCA
Molecule: long non-coding RNA, 1888 nt
Filed under: Triticum aestivum (bread wheat)
Lineage: Eukaryota; Viridiplantae; Streptophyta; Magnoliopsida; Poales; Poaceae
Description: long non-coding RNA (TAES_LNC024378)
Source: RNAcentral